AUACGUAGGGGGCAAGCGUUGUCCGGAAUUAUUGGGCGUAAAGCGCGCGCAGGCGGCCUGUUAAGUCUGGUGUGAAAGACCACGGCUCAACCGUGGGGUGGCAUCAGAAACUGGCGGGCUUGAGUGCAGGAGAGGAGAGUGGAAUUCCCGGUGUAGCGGUGGAAUGCGUAGAGAUCGGGAGGAACACCAGUGGCGAAGGCGACUCUCUGGCCUGUAACUGACGCUGAGGCGCGAAAGCGUGGGGAGCGAACAGGAUUAGAUACCCUGGUAGUCCACGCCGUAAACGAUGAGUGCUAGGUGUUGGGGGUUUCCGCCCUCGGUGCCGAAGGUAACCCAAUAAGCACUCCGCCUGGGGAGUACGGCCGCAAGGCUGAA
Molecule: ribosomal RNA, 375 nt
Filed under: uncultured bacterium
Lineage: Bacteria
Description: bacterial SSU rRNA
Rfam family: Bacterial small subunit ribosomal RNA
Source: RNAcentral